GGAUGCGAUCAUACCAGCAAUAAUGCACCGGAUCCCAUCAGAACUCCGAAGUUAAUCUUGCUUGGGCGAGAGUAGUACUAGGAUGGGUGACCUCCUGGGAAGGCCUCGUGUUGCAUCCCUCU
RNAcentral lists this ribosomal RNA (122 nucleotides) under Fragaria vesca (wild strawberry). The record is from RNAcentral. Lineage: Eukaryota; Viridiplantae; Streptophyta; Magnoliopsida; Rosales; Rosaceae.